This 253-nucleotide ribosomal RNA is filed under the name uncultured bacterium. RNAcentral's name for it is "partial 16S ribosomal RNA". It matches the Rfam family "Bacterial small subunit ribosomal RNA", at positions 524 to 776 of the family's 1533-position model. The record is from RNAcentral.
UACGGGGGGGGCAAGCGUUGUUCGGAAUUACUGGGCGUAAAGGGCGCGUAGGCGGUUCGCUAAGUUGAAUGUGAAAACUCUGGGCUUAACCCAGAGCCUGCAUUCAAUACUGGCGGGCUAGAGUUCUGGAGGGGAUAGCGGAAUUCCUGGUGUAGCGGUGAAAUGCGUAGAUAUCAGGAGGAACACCGAUUGCGAAGGCAGCUCGCUGGAACGUUACUGACGCUGAGACGCGAAAGCGUGGGGAGCAAACAGG